ACAAGCGGUGGAGCAUGUGGUUUAAUUCGAAGCAACGCGAAGAACCUUACCAGGUCUUGACAUCCCUGACAACCCGAGAGAUCGGGCGUUCCCCUUCGGGGGACAGGGUGACAGGUGGUGCAUGGUUGUCGUCAGCUCGUGUCGUGAGAUGUUGGGUUAAGUCCCGCAACGAGCGCAACCCUCGACCUUAGUUGCCAUCAUUCAGUUGGGCACUCUAGCGAGACUGCCGGUAAUAACCGGAGAAGUGGGGAUGACGUCAAAUCAUCAUGCCCCUUAUGACCUGGGCUACACACGUGCUACAAUGGUUGGUACAACGAGUUGCGAGUCGGUGACGGCGAGCUAAUCUCUUAAAGCCAAUCUCAGUUCGGAUUGUAGGCUGCAACUCGCCUACAUGAAGUCGGAAUCGCUAGUAAUCGCGGAUCAGCACGCCGCGGUGAAUACGUUCCCGGGCCUU
RNAcentral lists this ribosomal RNA (454 nucleotides) under uncultured Streptococcus sp. Its description in RNAcentral is "bacterial SSU rRNA". It matches the Rfam family "Bacterial small subunit ribosomal RNA", at positions 925 to 1382 of the family's 1533-position model. The record is from RNAcentral. Lineage: Bacteria; Bacillati; Bacillota; Bacilli; Lactobacillales; Streptococcaceae.